GACGAACGCCGGCGGCGUGCUUAACACAUGCAAGUCGAGCGGGGUGAUGGUGCUUGCACUAUCACUUAGCGGCGGACGGGUGAGUAAUGCUUAGGAAUCUGCCUAUUAGUGGGGGACAACAUCUCGAAAGGGAUGCUAAUACCGCAUACGUCCUACGGGAGAAAGCAGGGGAUCACUUGUGACCUUGCGCUAAUAGAUGAGCCUAAGUCGGAUUAGCUAGUUGGUGGGGUAAAGGACUACCAAGGCGACGAUCUGUAGCGGGUCUGAGAGGAUGAGCCGCCACACUGGGACUGAGACACGGCCCAGACGCCUACGGGAGGCAGCAGUGGGGAAUAUUGGACAAUGGGGGGAACCCUGAUCCAGCCAUGCCGCAUGUGUGAAGAAGGCCUUAUGGUUGUAAAGCACUUUAAGCGAGGAGGAGGCUCUUUUGGUUAAUACCCAAGAUGAGUGGACGUUACUCGCAGAAUAAGCACCGGCUAACUCUGUGCCAGCAGCCGCGGUAA
Molecule: ribosomal RNA, 503 nt
Filed under: uncultured bacterium
Lineage: Bacteria
Description: partial 16S ribosomal RNA
Rfam family: Bacterial small subunit ribosomal RNA
Source: RNAcentral